This 268-nucleotide ribosomal RNA is filed under the name uncultured bacterium. Its description in RNAcentral is "partial 16S ribosomal RNA". It matches the Rfam family "Bacterial small subunit ribosomal RNA", at positions 524 to 791 of the family's 1533-position model. The record is from RNAcentral.
GACGGAGGAGGCUAGCGUUGUUCGGAAUUACUGGGCGUAAAGCGCGCGCAGGCGGUUUCACAAGUCAGGGGUGAAAGCCCGGGGCUCAACCUCGGAACGGCCUUUGAGACUGUGAGACUGGAGACCGAGAGAGGAGAGUGGAAUUCCCAGUGUAGAGGUGAAAUUCGUAGAUAUUGGGAAGAACACCAGUGGCGAAGGCGGCUCUCUGGCUCGGCACUGACGCUCAUGCGCGAAAGCGUGGGGAGCAAACAGGAUUAGAUACCCCAGU